CAGCAGCCGCGGUAAUACAGAGGGUGCAAGCGUUAAUCGGAGUUACUGGGCGUAAAGGGCGCGUAGGCGGUUAUAUAAGUGAGAUGUGAAAUCCCUGGGCUUAACCUAGGAACUGCAUCUUAUACUGUAUGGCUAGAGUAUUGUAGAGGGUAGUGGAAUUUCCGGUGUAGCGGUGAAAUGCGUAGAGAUCGGAAGGAACACCAGUGGCGAAGGCGGCUACCUGGACAAAUACUGACGCUGAGGCGCGAAAGCGUGGGGAGCAAACAGGAUUAGAUACCCCUGUAGUCCCUGUCUCUUAUAC
Molecule: ribosomal RNA, 301 nt
Filed under: uncultured bacterium
Lineage: Bacteria
Description: partial 16S ribosomal RNA
Rfam family: Bacterial small subunit ribosomal RNA
Source: RNAcentral